AUGCGCCAGCUUCAUAGUGCCUAUGAUCUCCCGUUCCUAUUGAUUGGCGACCUAAAUGAGAUUAGUGCAUUACAAUAGAAGGAUGGUGGGAUCCCUCGCCCAGUCCAGUAUAUAAACGCAUUUCAGGAAGCAAGAAGGAACUGUGAGUUGCGAGACUUGGCAUACAUUGGAGACCCAUUCACAUGGCGUCGAGGCAUAAUUCAUGCGCGAUUGGAUAGAAGGCUGGUAAAUGAUGCUUGGGCAUCGAUCUUCCCCCAUAUUGCACUGAUAAAUACGGAAUUCAAUCACUCAGACCAUCGGCCUCUUCUUGUUGAUACAUAUUACUAUCUCCAAGCGACUGGUGCUACUAAUGGCUAUGAGAGAGUACAUUCGAUGCCACUCUAA
Molecule: ribosomal RNA, 384 nt
Filed under: Triticum aestivum (bread wheat)
Lineage: Eukaryota; Viridiplantae; Streptophyta; Magnoliopsida; Poales; Poaceae
Description: partial small subunit ribosomal RNA
Source: RNAcentral